Molecule: non-coding RNA, 255 nt
Organism: Cajanus cajan (pigeon pea)
Lineage: Eukaryota; Viridiplantae; Streptophyta; Magnoliopsida; Fabales; Fabaceae
Source: RefSeq, a predicted model, not a curated record
GAAACCUUCCUCCUUCUCCGUGAUACGAGUGAAAUUUCUCCUUCUGACUCUUGCCCUAGCAGACCCCUCUUUCUCCGUUUCUCCGUUAAUUUCUUUUCUGUUCCAACGCCGCUUCCUUCUCCGUUAAAUCGCUCCAACACUCCCUGGCCGGCGGUAACAAGAGCAUUUGAGGGUCCAGAAAAAUCCGCAGAGGAACACAUUUACCUGUUUAUUGCUUUCUCACCUAUUAAUGUCGAACUUGAAAGUAUACACAAU